AUGAAGCUGGAUACACUGGUAUCACUGGGUCCUGCAGAGUUUUAUUCAAUAGGAAUAUGGGAGGAGAUACCAGAGACCUCAUUCUCUCUGCCAUGUGAGAACACAAUGAGAAGGCAGCCAUCUGUAAGACGGGAAGAGAGCUUUCACCAGGAGGUGAACUGGCCAGAACAUUGAUUUUGCACUUCCCAGCCUCCAGAACUGUGAGAGAAGAUUUAUGUUUUCUAAUUUACCCAGUUUGUUAUAUUUUGUUAUAAAAGUCUGAGCAGACUAAGAUAGGUUAUAAUCCAAUACUGGAUUAUUUAUUUUAUUGCCCAAAUUGUUUGAAUCUGCCUAUGACAUGGAAGCUCCCAACUUCCAGUUGUCCCACAUUUUGGGACUGAACCCAUAUACAUCUUACAUGUAUUGACUGAUAUCUUAUGCCUUCCCAAAAUGUAUAAAACCAAGCUGUAGCCCAACCACCUUGGGCACACGUUCUCAAGAUCUCCUGGGGCUGUGUCACAGGACAUAGGUCCCUCACAUUUGACCCAGAAUAAAUCUCUUCAAAUAUUUUACAGAGUUUGACUCUUUUUAUUGACACCAGUAGUAGCCCACUUCCCAUUUUGACAACCAAAAAUGUUUUCUUCUUCAAGGAAGCCUUGGCUCUGCUUUUGAGGUCUUUUAACUGACUGAGGCAGGGUCAUCUAUAUUACCUAGGAUAAUCUCUCUUGCCUAAAGUCAACUGAUUAAGAACUUUAAUCACGGCCGGGCGCGGUGGCUCAAGCCUGUAAUCCCAGCACUUUGGGAGGCUGAGACGGGCGGAUCACGAGGUCAGGAGAUCGAGACCAUCCUGGCUAACACGGUGAAACCCCAUCUCUAUUAAGAAAUACAAAAGAAAAACUAGCCGGGCGAGGUGGCGGGCGCCUGUAGUCCCAGCUACUCGGGAGGCUGAGGCCGGAGAAUGGCGUAAACCCGGGAGGCGGAGCUUGCAGUGAGCUGAGAUCUGGCCACUGCACUCCAGCCUGGGCGACAGAGCGAGACUCCGUCUCAAAAAAAAAAAAAAAAAAAAGAACUUUAAUCACAUCUACAAGACAUCUUCACAAUAGUAUUUAGUGCUUGAAUAGUGUCUAGCCAGCUGACAUAUAAAAUUGCCCAUCACAAGAAGUGUUCAUUUUUCUGACUCAAAGAAAUGGUAGUACUAAUCCCCUGUCAGUAAUUUGUUUGGUCAUGGCCAUGUCAUGAAAGUCUGGUCAAUGAUGUAGAGGGGGAAUUUUGUUGAGGAAAUUAUGGAGCAGGUUUGCUCUUUUACAAGGAGACUCUAGGAAGAGAUUGUUUCUUAUUCUUCUGUUUGUUAAUCUUCUGUUGGUUACUGUGUCUGGAUGUUUAAAACAGGAAUGACUGUGGCCAACUAUAGCCUGAAACCAUAACUGACACAUUAAGGAUGAAGAGUGGAAAGAUACAAAGAAUACAAGCCCUUGAUGAAAUCACUGAAGGCACCAUCCCUGGAGCUUUCCUUACCUUUUUAGGUGAACAACACAUUUUCCUUGUUGCUUAAGCUACUUUAUAGUAGGUUCUCUGUCAUUUGUAGCAGCAGAAAUGAUUUCUCCUGACACACAGGCUCUGCCCACAUUGUGGAAAAGACGGCCACCACCAGUAGCACAAGCUUGUUUCUUUUAGUUUGUUUUCUUUUUAUGUUAGAUUAGCAACCCCGGUGGAAAAGGACACUUUUUCUCUUAAGUGUCAGCAACAGUCCCAGGAAGGCACCCAUUGGCCCAGCUUAGAUCACAUGUCCAUCUCUGAACCAGCACCAUAGCUGGAAGAAUGGAGUACGCUGUUGGGUCAGACCUGGUCCACAUGGCCACCUCUGGGGCUAGGCGUGGGAUUAGCUCUACCAGGACUAUAUGGAUCAUCAGUGGAGGAUGGCUUAUUUCCUGAGGGAAAAUUGGCAUGCUGACAUCAGAAAGGACAGGGGGAAUGUAUGCCUGGCAGGCUAAACAGGUGACCUCUCAAACAUCCUUCACAGGCUGGCCUCAACUUGUCGCUUCAUAGGGAUUUCUUAUUGUCCUCCGUAACUAUUGCUCCAGAACAAACUCUUCUACCCACAGGCAGCUCAAUUCAACAGAUUUGGAAAAAAACUCCUGCCAUGUAGUGGAUAGAUCCGAAUAUUCAAAGGGGAAGACAACACACCUCUUGAUUUUGGUGAGCUCUCUGUCUUUU
Molecule: long non-coding RNA, 2193 nt
Filed under: Papio anubis (olive baboon)
Lineage: Eukaryota; Metazoa; Chordata; Mammalia; Primates; Cercopithecidae
Description: lncRNA (ENSPANG00000045524.1)
Source: RNAcentral